RNAcentral lists this ribosomal RNA (246 nucleotides) under Triticum aestivum (bread wheat). Its description in RNAcentral is "partial small subunit ribosomal RNA". Lineage: Eukaryota; Viridiplantae; Streptophyta; Magnoliopsida; Poales; Poaceae. The record is from RNAcentral.
AUGGCCGUCGUGGGGAGGAUGAGGCUCGAUCUGACGGUGAUCGUGGCGGCGCUCGUGCUGCUGGCGGUGCUCGGCGAGGCGCGGCCGCUGGGGGGCGCCGACUGGGCGGCCGCCGGAGGGACCCCGCUGCCGGCCGCGGGCGGCGCGUCGAACGUGGUCCAGGCGCUCCGGCGGCUGUACAUGCAGCAGCUGGGCGGGCCGGGCCCCUCGUGCGGCACCAACAGCCCAAACGUCCACUGCCCGUAG